This 497-nucleotide ribosomal RNA is filed under the name uncultured bacterium. Its description in RNAcentral is "partial 16S ribosomal RNA". It matches the Rfam family "Bacterial small subunit ribosomal RNA", at positions 28 to 507 of the family's 1533-position model. The record is from RNAcentral.
GAUGAACGCUGGCGGCGUGCCUAAUACAUGCAAGUCGAGCGAACAGAUGAGGAGCUUGCUCCUCUGACGUUAGCGGCGGACGGGUGAGUAACACGUGGAUAACCUACCUAUAAGACUGGGAUAACUUCGGGAAACCGGAGCUAAUACCGGAUAAUAUAUUGAACCUCAUGGUUCAAUAGUGAAAGACGGUUUUGCUGUCACUUAUAGAUGGAUCCGCGCCGCAUUCGCUAGUUGGUAAGGUAACGGCUUACCAAGGCAACGAUGCGUAGCCGACCGGAGAGGGUGGUAGACCACCUGGUAUGAGAGCAAGGGCCGCGACCUCGGGGGGGGGACGCGGUCGGAAAUCUUCCGGGAGGGGGGAAUGCCGGAUGGCGCAAAGCCGGGGGAGUGAUGAAGGUCUCAGGACCGGAAAACGAUGUUAUUAGUAAAAAACAAAAAUUCUUUUACCGAGGACGAUCUUGACGGUACCUAAUCAAAAAGCCCCGGCUAACUACGUG